Molecule: long non-coding RNA, 10776 nt
Organism: Trichechus manatus latirostris (Florida manatee)
Lineage: Eukaryota; Metazoa; Chordata; Mammalia; Sirenia; Trichechidae
Exons: 4
Source: RefSeq, a predicted model, not a curated record
GGGCAGUGUUUCGUUGUGUUGUACAUAGGAUCAGUAUGAGUCAGAACUAUCUCGAUGGCACCUGACAACAAAAACAGCAACAACAAUAUAUUGUUUAUAUAUUAUGGUGUUGGUUUUUGUAAUGUACAUAAAUGUCUUUUACAAUUCAGUGUAAAAAUAAGUACUGAACAGUUGUUUUAAAAAUGGACAUGAAUACUAACAGAUAAAUCACAGAAGAAAUUCCUGGCAGGAAAACAUGUAUAAUAUCUCAAACACACGAACCAUUCAAAAAUAUCUUUUUAAAUCCAGUUGUGAUACAUUUUCAGUUUUGUAGAGAUGUAAAAUGUCAUGAUAGCUAGGAGGUAAGGGAGUAGCUGUCAAUGGACACAAAUGGAAUCUAGAAAGAUGGAUCAAGAUUAUUGUAUGACAGACACUGUUCACCCUCCAUUAGAUAGCUGUCUGUUCUGGAGGUCCAGCUGAGGAUUUUGUCAUCUUUAACUGUAUUUACAACCUCCCAGCUUGAUUCUCAUCUCAGAUUCCCUAAUUCACCUGUCUGCCAGAGCAGUCUAAAGGGAAGACACAAUGAACCUCACCACAUUCUUUUUAGAAGCCUUCAGGUGACAUGCUUCAAGAGUUUUAGAAAUAAGGAAUGAUCAGAGAAGAACACAAAGAUUAUAUAGUAUCAUUUGCCUAGAUAAGAAGUGGAAAUUGCCCCCUUUUAAUUGUUGAACAUUUGGAUUCAUAACUUUUGUGACAUCCCUUCACUUUCAUCUGUAUCCCCUAAGAAUCUCCAGACAUUUGUAUGGAAGGAUGAGUUAGGCAGAUUUGGAGUUAUAGUUUUUAAAGUCUUCUGGAGCAUCCUGAGGAUUUUAAUCGUGGACUGCUGUGGAAGUCUAAACCUCCUGCUGCUCUAAGGCGCCUGUGGUCUGAGCCCUGCUGUAGAGCCAUUCUCUAGAUCUUCCUCUCUGUGUUCAUCACCUGGUCUUAACAGCAUCAUGACAGGAUCUGUUACUCCAGAUUCCUCCCAAAAAUGCCCCUGUGUCACAACUUGGCAAGUGCCUAAAGAGUAUCUCUUCAGUUUAGAAUUAUUUCCAAUGCAUAAAACUUGAAAUAUUUGGGCUACACUGGACAAUAUCAACUAGACAUAACCCAGCCCUAGAGGAAUUUAUGGAUAGAAAGAGAAGAAGUCAGCUAGACCCUUCACCCAGCUACAGAAAUAUGGACAAAAUAAUACUGAUUUAUUCAUCCUCAACUUAAGGUGAACUUCAUCUUGCCUUUCAAGUGUUUACAUUUCAUCGGGUAAUCGUUGGAUUUGGAAAGAGAAAAACCGAGAAUAUUUGUUUUUCUUGCUAUGAAAUGCUGACUUCCCUUGGAAAAAUUGAUCUAUGUUAGUUUUAAAAACAGCUCUAAAUUUUAAAAUCAUAUUAAAUUACUUUUCUAUAUGUGUGUACCCUUGCCAAUUUGUUGUUUAAAUACUUGGAGAUUAUUUUUUGGACAGUGUUGUUUCAAUGAAAUAUAAACUACUAAUUAAAUGAUAAUAUGUAUGAAUUGUUUGUUGGAUGUUAGGAGAUCGGAGAAUGAAAUUAGAUAUGUAAUAGUUAUAUUUUUUUCUUUAUCUUUGAAGUCUAAUAUUCAAGCAUAGAGGCCUAGAUUUAUGAAUAUAAAGCUAUUUUCAGAUAAUUUUAAUGGUUGAUGUGAUAGAGCUGGUUUCAUAAGGAAGCUUUAAGAGACUUGGUAAAAUUGUCUUCCAGACAUUUUUGAAAGGCCAUCUUUUAAAGCUAUACACAAUUCUGAAGUCAUGAGUGUGUAUGGGUGGCAGAAAAGAAAAUGACAUGAAAAACGUUUUGUAGGUAAAUUAGAAAAAAAUUAUUUUAGCUGUUUAUGUGUAUUUUGAGAAUACUGUAUAUUAAGUAAUCAAAUAUGAGUAAUUGCUUUGUGACAUUUCCUUGAGAUUGCUAACAUGACAAGUGAUAUUUUUUGGAAAUGAGUUCAUAGCAUAUGGUAUGGCAGAAGAAAUUUUUUUAAAUACUUUUUGUUGAUGAAGAAAUAUUUCCUGAAUCAUUUUGGAAAUAGGAUUGUUAGCAUAUCUCUGAUACACAAUAACGUACUUUGAUUGGGUUAAUUUAUAGGUUUUUUGGGGCCACUGUUCUGUAUAUAACAGAAAAACUUAUUAAGGCAACUACUUUAUGUGUGGAGUUCAUGGAUGUAGAUGUUGUUUUUUCUGUUAAAUGGUCUUUCUGUUAAAAUCUAUGGUAUAGAUCUCCUUUUAACAAUGGUAUUGAUGUACAAGAGUACAGCCUCAAUGGAUGUUCAGGGUUGGGUAGACUUUUGUAUUACUCUGUAUAAAAUAGACAAAUUAUGAAACAUAGAGGUGACCCACAUUUUGCAUUUCUUUUUGCCAUUUACAUUGUUAGACCGUCUAUGGUUUUGUUGGUUGCCGAGAGCAAUGUACAGACUGCUUUGUCUGUAUUAGACAAAUGUAAAAUUUGGAUUCAGAAGAUAGAGGAUGGGUUCUUUUGGAGUUCUGUAUGCAUACUUCUCGUACUCUUGAUACUCUGUGCUCAGAUGUUGGGGAUCUGCAUAUAUAUUGUAAGCAUCCUAAUGUGGAACUGAGGUAUACUUUUUCCCCCUUUUGCCAGUGAAUUUGUUACAUUGUCUAUCAACAGUAAUUUAUUGCUGGUGGAUAGUGUCAUAUGUUUUUGUUUAUAAUGUUCAAUAUUUUUGUUUUAUGUGUAAUUGUCUAGAUACAUAGCUAUUGCUGUAAAUAAAUAUCAAAUUAUUAGGAUAGAACCAUUUUGUUUACAUCUAGCCUCUGUAUUCUUUUGGAUCAUUAGUCUUAAUUUUUAGGUUUUAUUACAGUGCAUGAUGUUUAUUAUAGUGUACGUAUUAGUGUUUCUCUGAUAAGGUGCAACAUGGUUUGAAAUGCCAUUGUAACAGUGUAUGUCUUUGGUUGUUUUUGGUUUUUGGAUGUUUAUGUGUACAAAUAGACCCAGAUCCUUGUGGAACAUCUAGAAGUCUCUGCAUGUGGUGAAAUAGCAUAUGUUAGAAAAAUUUUCAUUUGCCAGUGAAAUUUUUAAUUGUUCUUGUUUUAAAACACAUUUCUAGUUGUAUAGUCAUUCAGAUAAUUCACAAGAUUUUCUGGGGGUGGCUAGAAAUUGUGUAUCAAACUUCUGAGUUUGUUAGGUUUGAGGGCUUACAUGGUAUUUUUGUAUUGUGUGUAUAAUCACAAUUUUUACAUAAUUUUUUUAAGCCUAGAAACUCAUAUAUCUGCAUAUUUUGUAAAUUUAUUAAGAUACUGUAAUAUAUAGUGAAAACGUCCCCCCCACCCAUGUAUCAGGCUACCUCGGUUUUAUAUGAUUGGGUGGCUGAAAGGGAGUUUUAUUAGACUAUUGUGUAGAAAAUAGUCACAAUAUAUAAUUGUUUUUGCAUAACAUUUUAGUCUUUGAUAUGUAGGAAUUGUGGGCAUACAUAUUUUUUGUAUUUGUAUGUAUAUACAUCCAUGCAUUAAUGUACAUACAUAUUAGUAUUAUGUGAAUACAUAAAAUAGUAUUUAUUAAAGUCAUAGGACAGAAACUUCGUUGGGCCAAUAUAAUUAUUAUCCUGCCCUGAUCUGUGUUGUUUGAAUUGUCGGAGGUUGGGAAGUAUUAUAGGAAGUUUUAGUUUGUAAUCUUUAUUAAGUUGCUGGAGGAUAAUGUGAGACCAAUAGAUUCAUGUUAGAUGUUAUUUUUUUCAUUUUUAACAUCUGCAUAGGGAUUAGUACUAUGCAUGUAUUUUGUGACAAUAUCAGGUGGAAACACUUUAGUUUGGGCAGUUGAAUUGCUAGACCAUGUCUAAUUGGAAUUUAUUUGGUUGCUGGAGUAUAUUAUUGAAUUGUUUACAUUGAAAAUAAAUGCCAUUAAACAAACAAACAAAAAAAACACUUUUUGGGCACACAGUUUCUGUCAAAUUUUUUGGAAAUAAUUUUCUUUGGAAUUUAAAGGGUAAAAUCAUUGGUUGCCUAAAGAUAAAUAUAGCAGAGAAAGCAUCUGCCUGAGUUUCUUAGGCCGAGUUUGGUUUUGAGAUUCUUCUUUGUUUCUUUUUGGGGUUUGGAGAGUUUUUAAUUAGAUUUUUUUAAUACGUAAGUAAUCACUGCCAUUCAUAUUUGUGAAUGUGCAAAUAUGUAUAAUUUUCAUAUUCCGGUCUAAUUGUUGACUUGCUUCUGUGUUCCUUAGGCUGUUGGAUGGGGAAGAGCAGGAAGCAUUUGACUGUAUGUGUAUUAGACAAGCUUCUCGUAUGAUAUCUAAAAUACCUCUUCAAGGAAUACAUACAUAGUAAAGUAACUCUUAGCAAUAGAAAUGUUAAAUCAACUCUAUAUGUGUUUUUACUUUGUGACUUUAUGUAUAAGGGAGUGGUUAUUAGACAGUUGUGUGUAUAGUAGUCAGAUAUUUUUGUUAAUACCAUGUAUCUUCAUAGAUGUGCAGAAAUUACUGUCGUGUUUUGUAAAUAUAUUUGCCUGAAGUUACAGAGCAAAGCUUUUUUUGUUUUUUCUUCUAGAAAUGAAAUAGACCGAUGAAUAGAAAAGUCCUCUGGACUGUUGAGUGGGAUAUUUACACUUUUGUGUAUGUAGUUAGAUAUUUCUUUAAAAUAAUGUUCUAAGUGUAUAGACAUUACCAAUAUACAUAUAUUUUUUUAAAUAUAAGAGUUUUUUUUUUAAUCACUACAAUCUUUAGCUUCCUUCUUGGGGUUCACUGGUUUGUCAGAAGUUGUAUAGACAAGGAUAUUGUUUUGUGACCUCAUGUCUGUAAUAUACAGUGUUCUUUAUAUUCUUUAUUGGUGUAGAGAUUGCAAACAUGCAUAUAUUUUAUAUGCCUCCUAUUGUUAAAACAAUAUGGUGGAGAUGUAUAACUUUUGCAGAUGACUGUAGGAACUCUAUAUGGGUGGCUCUUUGGGGUUCAUUGUUAGACAGCUGUGUUUGUAAUAUUUGUAAACAUUUUUGACAAAUGACAGUAGAAAAAUUGCUUUUAGUGACUGAUUGUUAGUUCACCUUUAUAUAGUCUGCAUUGUAUCACUGUGAUUUAUAGAUGAAUUACUGGGAAGUUGAGUUAACAAAAGUCUCUUCGAGAUAUAUUUUUAUUAUUUUGUAUUCUUCCUGUCAGGAUGGGAGACAGAGUGAUGAUUAAAAAGGUUUUUUGCCGUACAUAAUCAUUUAGAGGAAAAUUUUUAGGCUGAAAUUAAGCUUUUCAAGUUCAUUUUAUAUAAACAUUCCUCUGCCUCUUUAAGAGACUUGUAAAGAACAUCUUAUAGACUAUGUUUCAAUGUUCAUUUGUUCCAUGGCGAUAUUCAAGAAAACUGUGUAAAUAAUGGGAAAACGAAAUAUUUGAAAUUUAAACAUCUAGUAUUUCUAGAUGUAUCGAGAGUCUCUUAAAGUAUAAUUUUAUAAGUUUCUCGUUGUAAAUUUGUAUUUCUAUUGUCUGUUGCAAUGGACUUGGCAAUGAAAUUGAUCAUUGAUGAACAGGCUCUUGGAGCUAUACAGAAUUUAUCAUACAUUAAUUUGAUUGUUAGGAGAAGGAGAAAAUAAAAAGUGAAGUUCUCAUGUAGAAGAAAAGUUUUACAUUGUAUAAAUAGUAUACUUCCUCCUCCCCCCUCCCAAAAAAAAAAAACGUGAAGUGCAUGAAGACAAUAUUUCAUUUGGUCAUUCUGGAUGUAUCAGAUUUCCCAAUGUGAUAUUAUUGUUUUGCUGAUAACAUUCAUGAUAUAGAUGACUUUAUUAAAGAGAUUUUAUACUACCUCUUGCAGCUAUAUACUCUUCUGUAUGUGCUCCCUUGGUUGCGUGACAAUAUUCAACAUCAACUUUGUAAAUAAGAGGCAGGCACAAGUUUUUAAUUUUUAACAUCUAGUCCUUUCUAGAUGUAUAGAGUCUCACUAAGUAUAAUUUUGUAAAUAAUCCAUUGUAAAAUUUCAUGGUUUCAUCAUUUUCUACAAAUAUCUUACCAAUGAAAUUGAUAAAGUUGUGGGAUUUUGAGGUAUAAAUAUUUUGGUAUCUGCUUAUUAAAUUGUUAUAGUAAGAAGAAGUGAAAAGUUCUGUAUUUUUACCAUUUUUGUUUUCCUUGAAAAAGUUUUAAUAUUAACCAUUGUUUAGUGUUUGUAUUGUAUACAUUAAAAAAACUGGUAUGACUAAAUCAUAAUUUUCUACUUGUAUUGAGUUAUUCAUAGGGCAUUCUAUAAAUAUAUAUUUUAUAAUCAUUAUAGGAAAUGUUUUAUACAUAAAGACAAUUGUAUCCUACCUCCUUCAACUAUACUGUUUUGUAUGUAAUUGGACUGUGUGACAACAUUCAAGACAACUUUGUAAAUAACAAAUAAUGCCAUUAAAAAAAUCUAGUUAUUCCAGAUGAAUGGAGUCUCACAGGGUAUAAAUUUGUAAAUAUUUCAUUGUAAGAUAUCAUAGUUACAAUGGCUUUUGUAUUUUUUUUUUUUUGGCAGUAAAAUAGAUAAUAAUUGGCCUAUUUAAGGCUAUAUAACAUUGUGGUGUCUGUUCCGUGAGUUUUAAUGGAGCAGGAUAAACGGAUUUUACCACUAUGUCUUCAGAGUUUGUUUCAUGUAGAGGAAAAGUUUAGAUUGUAGUCAUUGGUCUUUGGGAGCAUUGUAUACUUAUAACCAAGAAAGAAACCCCUGGGAUGUAUUUUAUCUUUAGGAAGAAAGAGGAAGACAUGAGAAUGGAAUUGUCAUUUUAAAUUAGAGCUACACACAAAGUUAAAAGACAUUCAAAUGAUUAAAAUUAUUGUUAUUUUUCUAUACUAUGUGAAUGUACUUAUGAAAAUUUAUAUAUAGAUGAAUAUCUGUGUAUAAAUAAUACAUAUGCAUCAUAAAUAUAUACACACAUAACACAAAACUAGUACAGAUCUGAUAACUGCUCUAUUUCAGGACUAUUACCUUAUUCUUAUUAACUUACUGAUUUAGAUUUUAUUUCUGUUUGAAGACUCUGGUAAUUAUGUUUUAUUUCUAUGCUUAGACACAUUUCUAGAAGUCUGCUUUACUGGUAUAACCAAAAAUAUUGCAGUUCUUAUAUCCAUUUGUUUUCUAAUCUGUUCCCAUGUGUAUACAUCUGCAUGAGAAUGACUUCUGUGAUGAUGAAUGUUUUGUUUUUCUGAUAGUUUUUAAAGAGAUUUACUGUGGAUGUAUGUUGUGUGAUAAUCACAAAUGAAUGUCAAAAGAGUUCUAUAUCUCACCGUGUAAAUAAGUUAGAAUAAUUUAAAGAUACUAGCCAGUGUUAGGCAAAAUAUAAUAAAAAUAUUUGGUAAUGACAAUCAAAAUUGAGCAUGUACAUUACUUUUGAAAUGGUGUAAUUUCCUGCCGGGAUCUUAUCUAUUCCAGUCCUCAAAAUUUUAAGAGAAAUGUGUAUUAUAGAUUAAAAUAACAAAUAACCUGAACAUCUGAAAUAUAUAUCAAUAAUCAAAAGAAAUCUGGUAAUGAUUAUAGUUUGUUCAACGUGAUUAUAAUUCAUACACUGAAAUAAUAUUCUGAAAUGGAAGGGUAUUUGUAGUAUUUUCAUAUUUAAAAUACCAUAAUAUAUUAUAAAACAUUAUGUCACCAUAGAACAACCAUCAACUAGUUGUCAGUUUUUGCAGAGUUGUGUAGGUAGGCGUCUAGAUAUUCUAACCGACAUGUUAAUGGUAAUUGUUCCUGAGGAAUGGGAUUAGCCUAAUAUCAUUAUGAAGUUUACUAAUGCUUACUCCUCAGUGUAAUGAAAAUGGUGAUUAUUUUAACAUUCUAUUUGAAAUAUAAAUAUUUGGAUUUAAAAAGUUAAACAUUUUGUCUACGUAUAUUGCUAUAUGACAAAAAUCUUAAAUAAUAUGAUUAUGAAUAGAAAAUUAUCUGUAAUAAAACAUUAAAAUAUUUUUAAACAGUUCUGUAAAGAGGUGGCAAUAAAAUGACUGCUUCUACUUUCUGCAUUUGAAGUUUCAAGAGUAUUUCAACAGGGAAUUUUAAAAAGACAACCUAUUUAUGCCUGUCUUUAUUCCUGCUUAUCAUCUUGGGAGUGUUGGGCUGUUGUAUUCAACGUUGUAUUCUCAGUGGCCAUUAUGAACGGUUUUUGAAUGAUCUCAUGAAGAGCAUGUGAUUUAGAGACUAGUGCAGCAGAGAGUCUUACACAGUGAAACAGUAUUGGAUUACCCAUGGAAAGAAGAAAAGAGAAAAUGGGAUUUGAGGUAAUCAUGAUGAGCAAAAUACAUAUCUGUAAAUAAGCUAAGGACAGCUGACAUUUGCAAUGCCACCCCUCUUACAGAGUCCCUUAAUUCAUAAGUCUUAACUGCAAACCACAGGUAAGAACGUUUUGGACCAAAAAGUGUUGUUUUGAGGUGUGAGGCUUUGCCUAGUUUAAGGAAAAUAAUACUGGUGCAGACCUUUACAAUUUUUGGUCAUGGGAAAGAAUUAGCAUGACUUAAAGAUUCUACCAAAGUAAACAUGAACAAUAAUAAGCAGAAUGCUGGGGAUUAUUUCUGUCUUCAUUCUGUUCACUUAUUUGUAUUUACCAUUUACUUGUUUCUGUUUACUUGUUAUCAAACAUUAAAAUGUAAGUAAUGUCAUAAAGUAAAUGACCACUUCAGUGUCCAAGAAUUAGAAAUUAUGAAAUGGAGUAACUUUUUAUGUUGUGACAAAUACUGUUUGGGGUUAUGGUGAAGAGGGAAAUUCAUGUAAAUGGAUAAAAACAUCCUAAUAUUGAACAGAUAAGAUUGUAGACCCAGCUAUGGAUUGAUUAAUGAGCAAUUGUUCCUAUUGGUUAACAGAAAUGUUUAACAAAGUUCAAUAUGAAUCUUUUUUCCUGCUUCCCUCACCUGUACUGUAAGAAUGAUGUGUCUCACCUUACAGGUCAGGAGGUAAUAGUUCCCGGAAGAAACACUUUUGCCGUCUUUGUUUUUAACUGCAAGAGUAGCACCACCAGUGAAUGACCUAUUGCAGUAUUCCUCGUUCAAGAAUUCUUCACUACCAUUUCUGGUAAUGACCGCAUAAGAAACUGAUGCCAUUGCUUCUACGACAAGCUUCACCAAAAUGAAAAUAUAACCUUCCUCAUGCAUGCAGUUUCCUCCCUUUCAUGCUGCAGUGGACACUUCUUGCAGAUCAGAAAAUGGUAUAAGAAAGCUGAUGUUCACUGAAAAAAACCAUCAUUUUGAAGAAUUCAGAGGUGUAGAAAUUUGCAAAAAUAUCCCGUGUAUAUAAUCACGUUUUCCUCCUAAUUGACGCUUAAAAUUAUUUUGCAAGAUGGAAAGAAAUGCAGUUUUAAUUUCAUUUGCACCAAAUUUAAUACAUUAACUAGGAGAGACUAGAUCUCUUUAAAAUUGAGUCUUCUUAACCAACUACAAGGUAUGUCUUUCCGUUUUUAUCAAAUGAUUGAAUUGGAAUAUUGAUAGCACAACUUCAUUGUUAAUUUUUUUUCCAAAAUCCCUUUCCAGUCAUUUCCUAGAUUGAUUAAUUUUUGGUAAUUUAAUGAUUAGAAUUGUUGUUACUCAAUUUAUUUUCUUAAUAAUAUAUGAAAGACAUUUUUGUACAUUUUUACUAACAGUAUUUCAUUGGAUUUCUAAAAUUGUGUUUCUUUUCUCACAGUUUAUCAGUGUUAUCUUGAUAAAGUAAAUUAGUAAUACUUUUAGUAUAAGUAGUAGAAAGUGCUCUUGACUAUUUGAAUGUUAAUGCCAGUAGCCUUGGUUUGAGGUUUGUUUUAGAAAACAUCCUUUUAUUAAGAAAUUUUCAUCAACUUGGGUGACAGAUUUAAUAAAAAUGCCUUCAGCAUUUUGUAGUUGAUUUUAUAAUCACUGAUAAGGUUGAACAAUAUUUCUGGAAAUGAAACAUUUCUUGCAUUCUGUGACUGAAUGAACUAAGUUUAUUUUGAAAUACUCCCUCAUUGUAAUUGUUAUAAUUUUAUUUGCAGUUUCUGAAGGAAUGUUCCAGAGUUGACAACCUGUAGCAUUAUUUUUCUUCUGUUUUUGUCACGGUUUUGUAUUUGAUUUACUGGCUUUUCUGGAAAGAGUUGAGGAUUAGCAUCGUUUCCUUUACUUUUUGCUUUGAAAUACUUUUUUUACCUACAAAAUAGUUGCAAUGCAAUUUUUAUAUAAUUCCUUUAUAGGCCCUAGCUUCUACUUAUAUUUUCUUUCAUAUGCACGAUAAGUUACCAAAACCAGAAAAUUAAAUUGAUGUACUGCUAAUUGAUUCACAUACCUUAUUCAAACUUCCAGUAUUAAAGUCAUUUUUUUGGUCCAAGAUUUAAUUUAGGAUUCCACAUUGCAUAUAGUUGUGAUGUUCUCCUGGCCUGGUGAUCUACUUUCAAAAAUCAGCCACUGAAAAUCCUGUGGAAAUACAAUUCUACUCUGACACACAUGGGAUUGCCAUGAGUCAGAAUUGACUCACUGACAGCUGUUUUUAAUGUCCCACAAUGUGCGUUUGUCUUAUUUUCGUCAGUUUAGAUUAAGGCUGUGCAUUGCUAGCAAGAGUACAACAGGAAUGAUGUGCCCUUCUCAGUACAUCAUCAGGAGGCACAUGAUGUGGAUGUAUCUUACUGCUGGUGAUGCUUCAUUUGAUUAGUAUUACAGUUAAUCAUUUUCAUUGAGAAUAUUUUUUAUUUUUAUUGUACUUUAGGUGCAGGUUUACAGAACAAAUAGUUUCUCAUUAAACAGUACAUAUAUUGUUUUAUGACAUUGGUUAACAACCCCAGAAUAUAUCAACACUCUCCCUUCGUGACUUUUUUUUGCGGGGGGAAUAUACAUAGCCAAAGAUAGACCAUUUAAAAAUUUCUACAUGCACAAUUCUGCAACAUCGAAUACGUUUUUCUGU